GUGCUUACUUCAGCAGUUCGUUUACUCAAAUUGGAACAAUGUACAGCAUAUUAACGUGGCCCCUGCACAGGGAUGACAUGCAAAUUCGUGAAGCAUUCCAUUCGAAA
Molecule: small nuclear RNA, 107 nt
Organism: Phyllostomus hastatus (greater spear-nosed bat)
Lineage: Eukaryota; Metazoa; Chordata; Mammalia; Chiroptera; Phyllostomidae
Source: RefSeq, a predicted model, not a curated record